UGGGGAAUUUUGGACAAUGGGCGCAAGCCUGAUCCAGCCAUACCGCGUGAGUGAAGAGGGCCUUCGGGUUGUAAAGCUCUUUCAGACGGAAAGAAACGGUCGCGGCCAAUACCCGCGACUAAUGACGGUACCGUAAGAAGAAGCACCGGCUAACUACGUGCCAGCAGCCGCGGUAAUACGUAGGGUGCGAGCGUUAAUCGGAAUUACUGGGCGUAAAGCGUGCGCAGGCGGUUUGGUAAGACAGAUGUGAAAUCCCCGGGCUUAACCUGGGAACUGCAUUUGUGACUGCCAGACUAGAGUGUAGCAGAGGGGGGUAGAAUUCCACGUGUAGCAGUGAAAUGCGUAGAUAUGUGGAGGAAUACCGAUGGCGAAGGCAGCCCCCUGGGCUAACACUGACGCUCAUGCACGAAAGCGUGGGGAGCAAACAGGAUUAGAUACCCAAGUAGUCCCUGAGCGGGCUGGCAAGGCGCAU
This 472-nucleotide ribosomal RNA is filed under the name uncultured bacterium. Its description in RNAcentral is "bacterial SSU rRNA". It matches the Rfam family "Bacterial small subunit ribosomal RNA", at positions 355 to 825 of the family's 1533-position model. The record is from RNAcentral.